Molecule: small RNA, 79 nt
Filed under: Gelidibacter algens
Lineage: Bacteria; Pseudomonadati; Bacteroidota; Flavobacteriia; Flavobacteriales; Flavobacteriaceae
Description: Flavo-1 RNA
Rfam family: Flavo-1 RNA
Source: Rfam by way of RNAcentral
UGUUAUGCGUUAGGGAUUGAAGCGGCAUCCUUUUUCAGCUUUUUCGCUGAAAAAGAUAGAGCUGAAAGCCCGACCACGU